This 253-nucleotide ribosomal RNA is filed under the name uncultured prokaryote. RNAcentral describes it as "partial 16S ribosomal RNA". It matches the Rfam family "Bacterial small subunit ribosomal RNA", at positions 524 to 776 of the family's 1533-position model. The record is from RNAcentral.
UACGAAGGGUGCAAGCGUUGUUCGGAAUUACUGGGCGUAAAGCGCGCGUAGGCGGGUCGGUUAGUCGAUUGUGAAAGCCCUGGGCUCAACCUAGGAAUGGCAGUCGAAACUACCGAUCUUGAGUGCCUGAGAGGAUGGCGGAAUUCCCGGUGUAGUAGUGAAAUACGUAGAUAUCGGGAAGAACACCUGAGGCGAAGGCGGCUAUCUGGCGGUGCACUGACGCUAAGGCGCGAAAGCGUGGGGAGCAAACAGG